Molecule: long non-coding RNA, 769 nt
Organism: Astatotilapia calliptera (eastern happy)
Lineage: Eukaryota; Metazoa; Chordata; Actinopteri; Cichliformes; Cichlidae
Source: Ensembl
CUCAGGAGGUAGAGCAGGUCAUCUACUGAUCAGCAGUUUGACCCUGGCUCCCCGCUCUGUAUGAAUUUUUGGCUGUUCUUAGCCACAUUGUUUGGCCAGGAGAUGAGGGCGAUGAUGAAGACGAUGAUGAUCCACCUUACCCACAAAGCAUCCAAAUGCAAACAGUGGGAUUUCUGAAGACCUACAUUGAAACAGCCACUCCAUUCCAGCUCAGCCAGCUGAUGAGGUUUUGGGUCGGGUGGGAAAUUCCGACUGGUACCAUGAAGGUUGAAGUAGUCGAAGCAGACUACCUCAUAUCCUCUACAUGUUUUGGAACGUUGCGUGUGCCUGGGCACUUCCACGAGUACAAUGUCUUUUCCAAACAUGUUGAUGAUUGCAUUGCAACUUGUGCCACAGGUUUCGGCCUUAUUUAAAAGCAAUUUGUAGACACUGGAUGUCGAAUAAACUUGCUAAACCAUGCUUGAAAAAUGUUUUACAUAGCCAAAAGUUUCACUGUUACUUAGGCUUAUUGAUUUUUUGUGAAUAUUGUUAUGCGAGUUUAAAUAUAAAAAUUAAAGUUACAGUUCCCACCAUUAACAUUUAUAUUUGAAGUUAAGGAACUAAUGAUUGUGUUAUUUAGGUUUCAGUCAUUGUCAUGCAUCCGAUUUACAUCAUCUCUUUGUUUGAAGAAGUUUCCUGGAUUACACGAUUAAUACCAAAGCUGUAUUAAAUGUUACACACAGUCCAAUGAUGUUGAAUAUAAUGUUAAUAAAAAUCUGCCACACUGUCA